This 884-nucleotide ribosomal RNA is filed under the name Vibrio harveyi. Its description in RNAcentral is "bacterial SSU rRNA". It matches the Rfam family "Bacterial small subunit ribosomal RNA", at positions 48 to 914 of the family's 1533-position model. The record is from RNAcentral. Lineage: Bacteria; Pseudomonadati; Pseudomonadota; Gammaproteobacteria; Vibrionales; Vibrionaceae.
GCUACCAUGCAGUCGAGCGGAACGAGUUAUCUGAACCUUCGGGGAACGAUAACGGCGUCGAGCGGCGGACGGGUGAGUAAUGCCUAGGAAAUUGCCCUGAUGUGGGGGAUAACCAUUGGAAACGAUGGCUAAUACCGCAUAAUGCCUACGGGCCAAAGAGGGGGACCUUCGGGCCUCUCGCGUCAGGAUAUGCCUAGGUGGGAUUAGCUAGUUGGUGAGGUAAGGGCUCACCAAGGCGACGAUCCCUAGCUGGUCUGAGAGGAUGAUCAGCCACACUGGAACUGAGACACGGUCCAGACUCCUACGGGAGGCAGCAGUGGGGAAUAUUGCACAAUGGGCGCAAGCCUGAUGCAGCCAUGCCGCGUGUGUGAAGAAGGCCUUCGGGUUGUAAAGCACUUUCAGUCGUGAGGAAGGUAGUGUAGUUAAUAGCUGCAUUAUUUGACGUUAGCGACAGAAGAAGCACCGGCUAACUCCGUGCCAGCAGCCGCGGUAAUACGGAGGGUGCGAGCGUUAAUCGGAAUUACUGGGCGUAAAGCGCAUGCAGGUGGUUUGUUAAGUCAGAUGUGAAAGCCCGGGGCUCAACCUCGGAAUUGCAUUUGAAACUGGCAGACUAGAGUACUGUAGAGGGGGGUAGAAUUUCAGGUGUAGCGGUGAAAUGCGUAGAGAUCUGAAGGAAUACCGGUGGCGAAGGCGGCCCCCUGGACAGAUACUGACACUCAGAUGCGAAAGCGUGGGGAGCAAACAGGAUUAGAUACCCUGGUAGUCCACGCCGUAAACGAUGUCUACUUGGAGGUUGUGGCCUUGAGCCGUGGCUUUCGGAGCUAACGCGUUAAGUAGACCGCCUGGGGAGUACGGUCGCAAGAUUAAAACUCAAAUGAAUUGAC